Molecule: ribosomal RNA, 292 nt
Filed under: uncultured bacterium
Lineage: Bacteria
Description: partial 16S ribosomal RNA
Rfam family: Bacterial small subunit ribosomal RNA
Source: RNAcentral
GUGUCAGCAGCCGCGGUAAUACGAAGGGUGCAAGCGUUAUUCGGAAUGAUUGGGCGUAAAGGGUGCGCAGACGGUUUGUUAAGUCAACUGUUAAAUCUCCUGGCCUAACCGGGAGCCCGCAGUAGAAACUGGCGAACUAGAGGAUGGAAGAGAGAAGUGGAAUUCUCGGAGUAGCGGUAAAAUGCGUAGAUCUCGAGAGGAACACCGAUGGCGAAGGCAGCUUCUUGGUCCAUAUCUGACGUUCAUGCACGAAAGCGUGGGGAGCAAACAGGAUUAGAUACCCCGGUAGUCC